ACCAGAAGAGGUGCGAAACUUAGGUAGAAAACGCGAGGAACCAUAUUUCUAAUGACCGUUUUUGAGGGAAGUUAUCGCCGAGAGUAUUUAAGAGUGGACUUAAAUAUUCGGUCACUAAGGUUGAAUCCUUAUGGCUGUCACCUGACGUAUUUGCUUAAUAAUGCCUAAUUAAUUAGGUGUUAUUAAGCAAAAAAUAAUAGGUGGAGAGCUUCUGGC
RNAcentral lists this non-coding RNA (216 nucleotides) under uncultured Colwellia sp. RNAcentral's name for it is "Lysine riboswitch". It matches the Rfam family "Lysine riboswitch aptamer". Rfam says of the family: Riboswitches are metabolite binding domains within certain messenger RNAs that serve as precision sensors for their corresponding targets. Allosteric rearrangement of mRNA structure is mediated by ligand binding, and this results in modulation of gene expression. Lineage: Bacteria; Pseudomonadati; Pseudomonadota; Gammaproteobacteria; Alteromonadales; Colwelliaceae. The record is from RNAcentral.